Molecule: ribosomal RNA, 253 nt
Filed under: uncultured bacterium
Lineage: Bacteria
Description: partial 16S ribosomal RNA
Rfam family: Bacterial small subunit ribosomal RNA
Source: RNAcentral
UACGGAGGGGGCUAGCGUUGUUCGGAAUUACUGGACGUAAAGCGCGCGUAGGCGGACCUGCAAGUCGGGUGUGAAAGCCCUGGGCUCAACCCAGGAAGUGCACUCGAUACUGCCUAGCUAGAGUCCCGGAGAGGUUGGUGGAACUCUCGGUGUAGAGGUGAAAUUCGUAGAUAUCGAGAAGAACACCGGUGGCGAAGGCGGCCAACUGGACGGUGACUGACACUGAGACGCGAAAGCGUGGGGAGCAAACAGG